CUGGAAAAAAAAAAUUUAAAAAGAACAAAAGGAGAAUAGAAUUAAAUACCCAUGAGAAGUUCCUUCAACUUCCGAGGAAGCUUUGCAGUGAGUUUGUUGAGCCCCAAAUGUUUCGUUUGUCAUCUUAUAACAAGAAGAAGGCUGGAAUUUGUAGCCUUGAUUGAAUGCGUUUCUUUUGUGUGGAUUGAUGAAAGAAAAUAACGUUGAAGCAGAAGAGAUUCUACUACAGUAGAUUUCUUGUGGGCUCGGAGUGAAACUCAGCCCCUGCAUUCUCUCCGACGAGACACAACCGCGGCUAUUUCGCCCAAGCAAUCUACCUGCAAAGUGCGAACUACGGCACCGCGCGAUUUUUCUUCAUGGGAAUUUGCAGCUUAGUCUCCAUCUUUUCACAAAUAUAAUAUUUGGGUUCUGUUAAAUUUAGGGGGCUCUUGAUUUUUAUAAACUUUCUU
RNAcentral lists this long non-coding RNA (449 nucleotides) under Olea europaea (common olive). RNAcentral's name for it is "long non-coding RNA (OEUR_LNC009522)". The record is from RNAcentral. Lineage: Eukaryota; Viridiplantae; Streptophyta; Magnoliopsida; Lamiales; Oleaceae.